AUACGGAGGAUCCGAGCGUUAUCCGGAUUUAUUGGGUUUAAAGGGAGCGUAGGCGGAUUGUUAAGUCAGUUGUGAAAGUUUGCGGCUCAACCGUAAAAUUGCAGUUGAAACUGGCAGUCUUGAGUACAGUAGAGGUGGGCGGAAUUCGUGGUGUAGCGGUGAAAUGCUUAGAUAUCACGAAGAACUCCGAUUGCGAAGGCAGCUCACUAGACUGUUACUGACACUGAUGCUCGAAAGUGUGGGUAUCAAACAGGAUUAGAUACCCUGGUAGUCCACACAGUAAACGAUGAAUACUCGCUGUUUGCGAUAUACAGUAAGCGGCCAAGCGAAAGCAUUAAGUAUUCCACCUGGGGAGUACGCCGGCAACGGUGAAACUCAAAUGAAUUGACGGGG
RNAcentral lists this ribosomal RNA (393 nucleotides) under uncultured bacterium. RNAcentral's name for it is "partial 16S ribosomal RNA". It matches the Rfam family "Bacterial small subunit ribosomal RNA", at positions 523 to 918 of the family's 1533-position model. The record is from RNAcentral.